CAGGUGAGUUUUGGGGUCCCCCAGGUGAGUUUGGGAUUUCCCAGGUGCCCCCUCAGGUGAGUUUGGGACCUCUCAGGUGAAUUUUGGGGCCCCCCUAAACCCCCAAACCCCAAAACCACUCCCGGGGUCUCUCAGGGAUGAGUUUAAUGCAGCAGCAGCAGCGGCAGCGGCAGCCAGGUGAGUUCAGGUGUGCCCAGGUGUGCCCAGCUGUGCCCAGGUGUGCCCAGGUGUGCCCAGGUGAGUUCAGCAGUGCCCAGGUGUGCCCAGGUGUGCCCAGCUGUGCCCAGGUGACCCCAAAUUGG
RNAcentral lists this long non-coding RNA (302 nucleotides) under Zonotrichia albicollis (white-throated sparrow). RNAcentral describes it as "lncRNA (ENSZALG00000001709.1)". The record is from RNAcentral. Lineage: Eukaryota; Metazoa; Chordata; Aves; Passeriformes; Passerellidae.